GGCGAACGCUGGCGGCGUGCUUAACACAUGCAAGUCGAACGGAAAGGCCCUGCUUUUGUGGGGUGCUCGAGUGGCGAACGGGUAAGUAACACGUGAGUAACCUGCCCUUGACUUUGGGAUAACUUCAGGAAACUGGGGCUAAUACCGGAUAGGAGCUCCUGCUGCAUGGUGGGGGUUGGAAAGUUUCGGCGGUUGGGGAUGGACUCGCGGCUUAUCAGCUUGUUGGUGGGGUAGUGGCUUACCAAGGCUUUGACGGGUAGCCGGCCUGAGAGGGUGACCGGCCACAUUGGGACUGAGAUACGGCCCAGACUCCUACGGGAGGCAGCAGUGGGGAAUAUUGCACAAUGGGCGGAAGCCUGAUGCAGCAACGCCGCGUGCGGGAUGACGGCCUUCGGGUUGUAAACCGCUUUCGCCUGUGACGAAGCGUGAGUGACGGUAAUGGGUAAAGAAGCACCGGCUAACUACGUG
RNAcentral lists this ribosomal RNA (468 nucleotides) under uncultured bacterium. Its description in RNAcentral is "partial 16S ribosomal RNA". It matches the Rfam family "Bacterial small subunit ribosomal RNA", at positions 28 to 507 of the family's 1533-position model. The record is from RNAcentral.